This 1117-nucleotide long non-coding RNA is filed under the name Phascolarctos cinereus (koala). RNAcentral describes it as "lncRNA (ENSPCIG00000025806.2)". The record is from RNAcentral. Lineage: Eukaryota; Metazoa; Chordata; Mammalia; Diprotodontia; Phascolarctidae.
GCUAGGCGAGGUCUUCCUCCUACCUGCUCUGGACUCGGGCUUUUCUCGUACAAAUAGCCCCCCCCUUCUCUUCUCUGGCCAGCGCCCCCACCCCUCCUCCUCCCUCCCCGCGCACACUCCGGCUCCUCGCUCCCUCCAGGUCCCAGUGCCUACAGCUUCCGUGGCUGGGUAGUCCGCACUGGAUCGCUUGCUCCCUGCACCACACGCAUUCACAGAGACACGGACCACAGGUCCAGCUGAACUUACCACAUGCAGCCCCACCUGAGGACUACAGCAUCAGGGCAAGGGGUUCUGGUAUCUUUGUCCAAGUAGUCAAACCAUGUGCCUAAUGCCUCAGCAGCUGUUAAUAACCCACCCUCCAACACCAGGUGGUUAAGGCCUUCCCUAGAGAAACUGACAUCUACAGGACAAUAUAGCAACCCUGAGCUCUUCCUUUUGGAAUCCAGAUCCACAAGGACAGAAAGACUGAUGUGCUGCUGAUACCUGCUUCUAUUACAAUGCCUUCUGCAUGGAUUAUCAUUAUUAAUUGCUAGAGUGAUUUUGGAAUUUCUACAAAGUUUGGUUUUCAUUUCCAUUGGCUUUAAAAGAACAAAAGGUAAGCAAGAAUGUAACUUUAGUAAAGUUAUAAUCUCAUUCAGAAUACAAGUCUUUCUUCAUUUCAAAAUUUAAAAAAAAUUAUUAGAAGUUGGCUGGAAUAAGAAACUAUAAAAAUGAGCAGACAUCCACACGUAACUUUAUUUUAGUCAAAACGGCCUAUUAAGGGUAUCCCUUAAAUUAGGCAUUUGAGUCUCUUUGUGCCUGCCUGGAUUGGAUUCUUCUCACCUUGGUUUCGAAUUCUUAGCUUCUUUCCUGGUGUGAUUCAGGUGACACUUCCUACUCAAAACCUUUCCUUACUCCCCCUCCCCCUCAAGUUGUUAGUGUCUCUCCCUCCUCAUAUCAUCUCAUAUUUACUCAUCUAUGUACAUGCUCCCAGUAGAACGUUAAGCUCAUUGAGGGCAGAGAGUUUCUUUUCUUUCUUUUUUUUUUUUUGUCUUUGUAUUUGUGUUCCUAGCAUCUGGCACAGGACACAAAGUAGAUGCUUAAUAAAAGUUUAAAAAGAAAGGAAAAAAUAAUGUAG